GCGUAAAUAGUUCAGUGGUAGAAUGUAAGUUUCCCAUACUUAUGGCCCGGGUUCGAUUCCCGGUUUUCGCA
Molecule: transfer RNA, 71 nt
Rfam family: tRNA
About the family: Transfer RNA (tRNA) molecules are approximately 80 nucleotides in length.
Source: Rfam